AUACGGAGGGUGCGAGCGUUAAUCGGAAUUACUGGGCGUAAAGCGUGCGUAGGCGGUUCGUUAAGUCAGAUGUGAAAGCCCUGGGCUCAACCUGGGAACUGCAUUUGAAACUGGCGGACUAGAGUUUAGUAGAGGGGAGUGGAAUUUCAGGUGUAGCGGUGAAAUGCGUAGAGAUCUGAAGGAACACCAGUGGCGAAGGCGACUCUCUGGCCUAAAACUGACGCUGAGGUACGAAAGCGUGGGUAGCAAACAGGAUUAGAUACCCUGGUAGUCCACGCCGUAAACGAUGUCAACUAGCCGUUGGCUCUCUUAGAGAGUUAGUGGCGCAGCUAACGCAUUAAGUUGACCGCCUGGGGAGUACGGCCGCAAGGUUAAA
RNAcentral lists this ribosomal RNA (376 nucleotides) under uncultured bacterium. RNAcentral's name for it is "bacterial SSU rRNA". It matches the Rfam family "Bacterial small subunit ribosomal RNA", at positions 523 to 898 of the family's 1533-position model. The record is from RNAcentral.